RNAcentral lists this small RNA (666 nucleotides) under Histoplasma capsulatum. Its description in RNAcentral is "hypothetical RNA". The record is from RNAcentral. RNAcentral also lists the same sequence under 1 other name. Lineage: Eukaryota; Fungi; Ascomycota; Eurotiomycetes; Onygenales; Ajellomycetaceae.
GACUGUCUAUCGACUCGAGUAAUAACGAUGAGUAUAUGUUUAUGUUUACAUCGCUAAGAACAAUUUAAUUACAAUGUCAUCGGAUAUGACGAUCAGCAUUUGUCAUGAACCCGGACAAUUCUCAGGAGUUCAGGCCUAUUGUUAGAUUAUCGGGCCGAAACCUGCACCCGACCUGCUAAGUUGCUGGUGCCCCGGUCUCAUCUCAGCCCGAGAUAUCGAAAAUACCCUGCAUGCAGUGUCAUCGUUUCAUCGUGUGUCCGUGGCCUUCCAAUACUUGGUAGAUCGAUCUCCUGUGCUCUCAUGGCGUUUGCCCAAACGGUUACUGUGCACAUUCUUAUGGGGAGGAUUGCGAUGUUGAGCAUCUUUCAAGCAACAGACGGUGAAGAUUUUAACUUGAUCUGAAGCAACAAAAAUAUUCCGGAUUCGUCAUUCUCUCUACUCGAAUGUCAUCUCGAAAUUCUCAAUAUGCUGAUUUGGCGCCAUGGCAAAAUUCGAAAAGAUAAACCAGUUCUCGGUAGCAGCUUUUGCCUCGCUGAUCAGACUGAUUAUUACCCUGGAGCUAUAUGCACUGUCCUGUACGGCGUACAUGCUUCCAUCUGAAAUCUGCCCUGCGCAGAUUCCUAUUGGUUGAUCAACAGCUCCCAUCCCUGAUAAAUAUCGCCCAGC